GAUGAACGCUGGCGGCGUGCCUAAUACAUGCAAGUCGAACGCUGAAGGAGGAGCUUGCUCUUCUGGAUGAGUUGCGAACGGGUGAGUAACGCGUAGGUAACCUGCCUGGUAGCGGGGGAUAACUAUUGGAAACGAUAGCUAAUACAGCAUGACAACAGUUCUUGCAUGAUAACUGUUUAAAAGGGGCAACUGCUCCACUACCAGAUGGACCUGCGUUGUAUUAGCUAAUUGGUGAGGUAACGGCUCACCAAGGCGAACAUUCAUAGGCGGCGUGAGAGGGGGGACGGCCACCACGGGACCGGGGACACGCUCCAGACUCCUCCGGGAGCAACCGGAGGGGAAUAUUGGACAUUGAGCGAAGGCUGAACCAAGAACGCCGGGGGGGUGGAGGAGGUUUUCGGAGCGGUAAGGCCCUUUGUAAGGGAAGGAAGAGUGUGAGGGUGGAAAGUUCACACUGUGACGGUAUCUGAACAGAAAGGAACGGCUAACUACGUG
This 495-nucleotide ribosomal RNA is filed under the name uncultured bacterium. Its description in RNAcentral is "partial 16S ribosomal RNA". It matches the Rfam family "Bacterial small subunit ribosomal RNA", at positions 28 to 507 of the family's 1533-position model. The record is from RNAcentral.